This 300-nucleotide ribosomal RNA is filed under the name Triticum aestivum (bread wheat). RNAcentral's name for it is "partial small subunit ribosomal RNA". The record is from RNAcentral. Lineage: Eukaryota; Viridiplantae; Streptophyta; Magnoliopsida; Poales; Poaceae.
AUGAUCAUUCAAGUUCCUUUUGCAAAUUCAAGUUUUUGUAAUGAACUACUUAUAAGAUGGAGUAUGUUCCUUUUGCCUCCCUUGUUAAGCAGUAGUUGUAGAGUACUCCUUUUCAAGAUGUCACCAAGAGUGGCUCCGACUGAGUUAUCACCAAGAGGGGGUCGGCACAGAUUUGUCACCUCUUCAAGCGUCAUGGCAUGUCGGCGCUUGUCACCUCUUCUGGGCCAAAAUCUAACUUUGAAUCAUGCGACCAGGUUAGGAUGUGAAUUCUGUUCCGUCAGCACUAUUUUAUCAUUAUGA